AGUGAACGCUGGCGGCAGGCCUAACACAUGCAAGUCGAACGGCAGCACAAGAGAGCUUGCUCUCUGGGUGGCGAGUGGCGGACGGGUGAGGAAUGCAUCGGAAUCUGCCCAUUUGUGGGGGAUAACCUCGGGAAACCGGGACUAAUACCGCAUACGACCUACGGGUGAAAGCAGGGGAUCUUCGGACCUUGCGCAGAUGGAUGAGCCGAUGCCGGAUUAGCUAGUUGGAGGGGUAAAGGCCCACCAAGGCGACGAUCCGUAGCUGGUCUGAGGGGAUGAUCAGCCACACUGGGACUGAGACACGGCCCAGACUCCUACGGGAGGCAGCAGUGGGGAAUAUUGGACAAUGGGCGCAAGCCUGAUCCAGCCAUGCCGCGUGUGUGAAGAAGGCCUUCGGGUUGUAAAGCACUUUUGUUGGGAAAGAAAAGCAGCCGGUUAAUACCCGGUUGUCAUGACGGUACCCAAAGAAUAAGCACCGGCUAACUUCGUG
RNAcentral lists this ribosomal RNA (490 nucleotides) under uncultured bacterium. Its description in RNAcentral is "partial 16S ribosomal RNA". It matches the Rfam family "Bacterial small subunit ribosomal RNA", at positions 29 to 507 of the family's 1533-position model. The record is from RNAcentral.